This 714-nucleotide long non-coding RNA is filed under the name Phoenix dactylifera (date palm). Its description in RNAcentral is "long non-coding RNA (PDAC_LNC012244)". The record is from RNAcentral. Lineage: Eukaryota; Viridiplantae; Streptophyta; Magnoliopsida; Arecales; Arecaceae.
AACAUUAUCAACAAGGGUUGAAGGUGUGAUUUGUAUUUUACCGAUACCAAUGAUGUAACCUUGGUUAUUGUCUCCAAAAGUGAUAAUUGCUAAAUAAUAUAUAAAUUAAUCUAUUUUACAUAGCACUUAUUACUAUUUUGAUGCACAUACUUCAGAUUUAAAUAUAGAAAAAUGUGUUUCCCUCCAUGAUUGCAUUUUAAUAAAUUAUUAGAGAUAAUUCAAGUUUGAUUUGAUUAUUUAUUAUCGAGCCUAAUGUAUACAGGUCAAGUCAAACUUAUUUGGGAUGAUCUCUGAACCCAAAUCGUAUGCACCCCGCAAAUUAAAUCCUCUCAAAUUCUGAUUCGAUCGUUCAUCCCAACUCCCUUAUUUCUUUUCCAUCAUUGAGCUCAUCCCGAACAAAUUCCUUUCACGAAUCUCUGUGCAUCCCAAAUUGAGUCACCUGCAUUCAAUUUCUUCACACGUUCACCCACUAUAAACAAGUCUUUCUACGUGUCCAACCUUCCUAAAAUUCCUCUCACACAUUAGCUCCUCUGCAUCCACAUCAACCAGCCAAAUGAACCUCUUCAUUACAAACAUAACCCCAUGUCCAAAGAAUAGAAGCCCGUGUAAACCUCCCAGCUUAACAAAAUGAGUUCAAGCCCUCUCUUUCAUUCUCCCAAACUCCUUAUCACAUCCGUAGAUCAGCUUCCAUCCCAACCUCCAGAUUUCCCCUCA